AUUGAACGCUGGCGGCAUGCCUUACACAUGCAAGUCGAACGGAUUCAAGAGGCUUGCUUCUUGAGUUAGUGGCGAACGGGUGAGUAAAGCAUCGGAACGUACCCAGUUGUGGGGGAUAACGUAGCGAAAGUUACGCUAAUACCGCAUACGCACUGAGGUGGAAAGCGGGGGACCGAAAGGCCUCGCGCAAUUGGAGCGGCCGAUGUCGGAUUAGCUAGUUGGUGAGGUAAAGGCUCACCAAGGCGACGAUCCGUAGCUGGUCUGAGAGGACGACCAGCCACACUAGAACUGAGACACGGUCCAGACUCCUACGGGAGGCAGCAGUGGGGAAUUUUGGACAAUGGGCGAAAGCCUGAUCCAGCCAUGCCGCGUGAGUGAAGAAGGCCUUCGGGUUGUAAAGCUCUUUCAGACGGAAAGAAAUCUUUCGGGUGAAUAUCCCGGAAGGAUGACGGUACCGUAAGAAGAAGCACCGGCUAACUACGUGCCAGCCGCCGCGGUAA
This 500-nucleotide ribosomal RNA is filed under the name uncultured bacterium. RNAcentral describes it as "partial 16S ribosomal RNA". It matches the Rfam family "Bacterial small subunit ribosomal RNA", at positions 30 to 523 of the family's 1533-position model. The record is from RNAcentral.